AUUGAACGCUGGCGGCAGGCCUAACACAUGCAAGUCGAACGGUAGCACAGAGAGCUUGCUCUCGGGUGACGAGUGGCGGACGGGUGAGUAAUGUCUGGGAAACUGCCCGAUGGAGGGGGAUAACUACUGGAAACGGUAGCUAAUACCGCAUAACGUCGCAAGACCAAAGAGGGGGGACCUUCGGGCCUCUUGCCAUCGGAUGUGCCCAGAUGGGAUUAGCUUGUAGGUGAGG
RNAcentral lists this ribosomal RNA (232 nucleotides) under uncultured bacterium. RNAcentral's name for it is "partial 16S ribosomal RNA". It matches the Rfam family "Bacterial small subunit ribosomal RNA", at positions 30 to 257 of the family's 1533-position model. The record is from RNAcentral.